Oncorhynchus keta (chum salmon) is the source of this 1360-nucleotide long non-coding RNA. RefSeq lists it as uncharacterized. The transcript is spliced from 4 exons. The record is from RefSeq and is a predicted model, not a curated record. NCBI's taxonomy places the organism in Eukaryota, Metazoa, Chordata, Actinopteri, Salmoniformes, Salmonidae.
AGGUUUGGUGAAUGGACCAACGGGACCGUCAAGACUGCCUUGAUUGGUACCAGGAAGUGUGGGAGAACAACCUGAAGGUGAGACUGAACAUUGACAAGUUGCAAGAGAAACAGAAGGACAGCUACCGGAGCAGAAUCAAUAAGGGGACCAAGUGUUAUGACAUCCGGUUGACUUACUCGGUUUGGAAGAAGGACGAAAGAAAGGCGAGACCUGGGAAUACCUCGCUGCUCUUUCGCUCCUAGUUGGGGUCACCAUCUGUUAAGGAUUACCUCGGUGGAAGCCAACAAUCUACUCCAGCUUGAGCAGUUGGACGGUCGACCACUGAAUGCACUGACGCCCUUACACUUCAGUGAAGCCCAAUAGACAAAGUAUGAUCAUCUUUGGUUGAUAUCUGAAAAAGCAAGAAAGUGUAUAUAUGCUGAGCAGGAGGUAUCCCAUCCAACAGAACCAGUUUGUUCGGAUCAGUCUGAUUCUCUGUGCUCUGAGUCGGUGGGAGACCAGCUUGAGGACCUAGUGGUUCUGUCCAACAGCCAGAUGUGGAUCCACCUGAUGUCCUCAAUUACCAACCACCUUUUCAUUACAUGAACUGUACUCCCUAUUCAGCCACAACUGUGGCCAUGCGCACCCCCAACUCAAUCAUCAAGUUUGCAGAUGACACAACAGUAGUGGGCUUGAUUACAAACAACGACGAGACUGCCUACAGGGAGGAGGUGAUGGCACUUGGAGUGGGGUGUCAGGAAACUCAACUUCAACUAAGGAGAUGAUCGUGGUCUUCAGGAAACAGCAGAGGGAGCACCCCCCCUAUCCACAUCGAAGGGACAGCAGUGGAGAAGGUGGAAAGUUUUAUGUUCCUUCGCGUACACAUCACAGACCAACUGAAAUGGUCCACUCACACAGACAGUGUGGUGAAGAAGGCGCAACAGCGCCUCUUCAACCUCAGGCGGCUGAAGAAAUUUGACAUGUCACCUAAACCCUGACAAUUUUUACAGAUGCACUAUCGAGAACAUCCUGUCAGGCUAUAUCACAGCCUGGUAUGGCAACUGCACAGCCCUCAUCCGCAAGGCUCUCCAGAGGGUGGCACGGUCUGCACAAUGCAUCACCGGGGGCAAACUACCUGCCCUCCAUGACACCUUCAGCACCCGAUGUCCAAAAAAAUCAUCAUGGACAUCAUAUUAGGUCGUUGUUGGGGAAUUGUUAGAUAUUACUGCACUGUCGGCACUAGAAGCACAAGCAUUUUGCUACAUUCGCAUUAACAUCUGCCAACCAUGUGUAUGUGACAAAUACAAUUUGAUUACAUCUACAGCUAGUGUUAUUGUGAAGUCCUUAUCUGUUAAGAAGGUAUUCUUGCACGAUCAUACUG